This 60-nucleotide transfer RNA is filed under the name Dipodomys ordii (Ord's kangaroo rat). It matches the Rfam family "tRNA", at positions 7 to 64 of the family's 71-position model. From Rfam's summary of the family: Transfer RNA (tRNA) molecules are approximately 80 nucleotides in length. Their secondary structure includes four short double-helical elements and three loops (D, anti-codon, and T loops). Lineage: Eukaryota; Metazoa; Chordata; Mammalia; Rodentia; Heteromyidae. The record is from Rfam by way of RNAcentral.
GUGGCUCAGUGGUAGAGCACUUGCUUUGCAUGCAUGAGGUCCUGGGUUCGAUUCCUCAGC